AUUGAACGCUGGCGGCAGGCCUAACACAUGUAAGUCGAACGAGUGGCGGACGGGUGAGUAAUGUCUGGGAAACUGUUUGAUGGAGGGGGAUAACUACUGGAAACGGUAGCUAAUACCGCUUACCAUCAGAUGUGCCCAGAUGGGCUUAGCUAGGUGGUGGGGUAACGGCUCACCAAGGCGACGAUCCCUAGCUGGUGUGAGAGGCUGACCAGCCAACUUGGAACUGAGACACGUCCCCGACUCCUACGGGAGGAAGCAGUGGGGAAUAUUGCACAAGGGGCGCAGGCCUGAUGCAGCCAUGCCGCGUAUAUGAAGAAGGCCUUCGGGUUGUAAAGUACUUUCAGCGGGUAGGCGUUACCCGCAGAAGAAGCACCGGCUAACUCCGUGCCAGCAGCCGCGGUAAUAC
This 406-nucleotide ribosomal RNA is filed under the name uncultured bacterium. RNAcentral's name for it is "partial 16S ribosomal RNA". It matches the Rfam family "Bacterial small subunit ribosomal RNA", at positions 30 to 526 of the family's 1533-position model. The record is from RNAcentral.